Molecule: ribosomal RNA, 253 nt
Filed under: uncultured bacterium
Lineage: Bacteria
Description: partial 16S ribosomal RNA
Rfam family: Bacterial small subunit ribosomal RNA
Source: RNAcentral
UACGUAGGGAGCAAGCGUUGUCCGGAAUCAUUGGGCGUAAAGCGCGCGUAGGCGGCCCGAUAAGUCCGCUGUGAAAGUCAACGGCUCAACUGUUGGAUGCCGGUGGAUACUGUCGGGCUAGAGUACGGAAGAGGCAAGUGGAAUUCCUGGUGUAGCGGUGGAAUGCGCAGAUAUCAGGAGGAACACCUAUAGCGAAGGCAGCUUGCUGGGACGUUACUGGCGCUAAGGCGCGAAAGCGUGGGGAGCGAACAGG